UAUAAAAAUAUCUCAGUUAUUUAAAAAAAAACAUAAAUAUCCCUAAAUUCAAGUUCAAGGUAGGUCCUUUUAAAAUACAUAAAUAUUCUUAAAUCAAAGGUACGGAUGUUGCAUGUGGGCAUAGGAGAAGAGGAGAAUGGUUUACUCAUAAGACAUCAAUUAACUACAUAACAUCAAACAUGAUGGCUAGAAUUCCUAAAUUAUCACAAUCACUUGGGAUGGCCUAUGGAUGUCAUUACACUAAUAGGUCAUAUGCAUGACUCAUCAUGGGUUGCACAGGAGAAAGGAGACUCAAUUAAUCUAACAUGAAUCAUGAUGUUUUCACAUACAUUUUCCAUUUUGUUGGCAUGGGUUGAUGUAAGAAACAUGUAGGCUAUGUUUGGUUCUCGUAAAAUUUGAGGGAAAAUGUAAGGGAAAAAAAUAGAAAGAAAAAACAGA
Molecule: long non-coding RNA, 438 nt
Filed under: Vitis vinifera (wine grape)
Lineage: Eukaryota; Viridiplantae; Streptophyta; Magnoliopsida; Vitales; Vitaceae
Description: long non-coding RNA (VVIN_LNC006678)
Source: RNAcentral